GGACUAGAUGACCUGCUGCAGAAGCCGACGGACAGGGUGCCCCGAGACUGCGUGUGUUCCCCCAAGUACCCCCACCUCUUUUCUUCGAUCCAAAGCUCUUUCCGUUUCGUUCGCCCAUCGCAGGAAGCGCAACCCUAACAACAUCUCCCUCCCCCUCUGCUGCCGUCGUUGGUAUUUCGCCUGAAUUCAUACCUCCGCCGUGUGUGGUGGAGUUGAAUUGGUCGGAGUUGAGGUCCUCCGCCGAUCUCUCUUUCGGUUCCUUCUCUGAUCCUCUCUCCAUCUCGUGCUUGGCAUCCUUCUGGUAGAAGGAUGACGGAAGACAGGAGUCCGAAAUAUCCCGAUGAACUCCCGCGGUGACCGCAGGCCGGGAGGCAAGGGUGUCUCUUUUCUGAAGCGCUUCAGCUUAAUUUCUGAUACGUGUAUCUUUCGCCCUUGUUCAAUAUUACUUCAUAAUAGCAUGGCGAGUUAUGCCUUUCGACUGGUCGUCGAUUUGCUUCAUGAGGAGUGUUGUAGUUAGUCACGACUAUGACCUUUUAACUGGAACUCGAUCUGAUGUCCUUAUGUUUUAAGUUUGAGUCUUAGUACUCUAAUCGUGUUUCUAUACCUUAGUGUUGAGAGUCAACAUGGCCGAAAUAGAAAAUAAGAAUUAAAGUAGUUCGAGACUGGUUUAGCCUUCUUUUGCCGCUUGAUAUUUUGGGAUACAUUUAAGGAUUAAGAAGCUCUGUAGAUAGCAAUUAUUGACUUAUGUGGUGUAAAUUCAUACUAUUCUUCGUGAGAACCAAACCUAAGAAAUAGUGUGGGUGGGUGCUUUUACUUGGCUAUGUCUAUAAUAGUACUGGAUAGGCCUCCAUUUGAGACUUGGGAUCUGUUUUCUUUUUAUUUUUUCAUCUGUUUAAACCCUAACGGAAAUGAGUAUGAGUUCUCUAUUAAUUUGUUUUUAGUUUAUAUUUUUCUUCCACGCUUAAGAAAUUAUUGGUAUGUUAUGACCCUGUCUUUUACAAUUGCAGAUUCAGAAAUGCACUGGUGCUGUUGUUAUAACAAGGUAUGCCAGGCAAGUGUUUGCAUUAUUGAUACCCACUGAAUCUCACAUACUUCUUUAAUUCCUUUUAUGUUUAACUUUUCUAGAGGCAAAGUACCAUCCUCCUAAUGGAUUGUGAGACAGUGAGAAGCCACUGUAUCUCCUUAUAUCUGCAGGGGCUCAUGUAUGUAGUAUUUCUUGAUUAUAGGAUCUGAUUUACACAAAUCAUUGGCAAGAACAGAAUAUAUGUUUAGUUUUGCAGAAACAUUUUAUUUUUCUGCAUGGACUUGUUGUAUCUAUGAUUGGUAUCUGUAUAAGUGUUCAAUCUGUUCAUGUCAAGAAAAGUUACUAUGCAUUUAAAUGUCAAUAAUAUAUUUUUUUGUGGUUUGUGUCACAUUUCAUCUAAUUAAUCAGACCAAUUCUUGAUUAUUGAGUGUCAGUGAAUUCUUAUGUGAUGCCCAGAAAGUGAAACUGUGAAACUUAACAACUAAAAGAAUUUCUAAAUAAAGAUAGUGUACUAAUUUGAAAGAGAGUUCUAUGUUGUGGCUUCAAGCCCAACUGUUAACCUGAACUUCAAAAACUAUGUUAACUGAGAAUGGAAGUCUACUUAUGGAUAAUAUUCUCCACUCGAUUUUGCUUUAUAGGACAAUUUCUUAUCAAGUAAUUCCACAUAUCUCAAUUUCUCUGUUAUAAUGUCAUACUUCAGUAUUAAUCCUUAUUGCUAGUGUUCGUUUUGUUCUUGGAGGACCUCCCUGAGAUGAGUAUCAUGACUUCCAGGAUACCUUUAAUACGUGAUGACAUAUUUAUCUAGCAUGGUUUGUAAACAUAUGAUUCUUUGGCCAUAUCAGAAAUACCUCGUUUGCUUCUAUGAGGCAUGAUUUUGGAUUACCAAACAAGACGCAAAUAUACAUGUACCCAAUCAUUGAUUACUAGACAGUUCAAGAAUGAGGUACUUAUAAUGAAGUUGUCAUUUCCAUAAUGUGUUUGAUUGUGUUGUUGUAUAUUAUGAUAAAUUACAGCAAAAAUUAGCUAACAUGCCUGGCUGUCAUCAUGAAAGGAAUUAUUUUUCUUACACUAUAUUUCAAUAACAUCGAGAGGAUAACAAGAUGUUGCAAAAAGUAAAGCUAGCUAAAAUCCCUAUUUUAACUUUUCAUAUUAUAAUGAAGAUUAAAUCAUGAUUAAUGAUAAUAGUACAAAGUUCACUCAGGUUAAGAUGUGGUCCAUGAUCUGCCAAGACAUUGAAGGGAGUAGGCUUGGAUGAUUGUGAUGGGAACAUCCUCAAGCAAAAAUUAACAGCAUUUCCGUAGGGUUGUAGGUGUUUUAGUGGACAUCUUGAAACAAGGCCAGAACCUCAGACAUCUUUUACCCCUCUUUACUCAGUUUUGUUUGAUGGGCUGGUAUUAAUCUUUUAUUGCAUCAUUGCAUGGGAAAGUUGAUUGUGAUGCAGAAGGAAAUUUUUUGGGAGACAGGUUAGGCAAGCUCUGAGUAAAUAUUUGUUUCUGGGCUUUGAUGCUGACCCUUCAUUCGAUAUUGCAGCUUGUAUUUGAGGUCCAAAUGUAUGCAACCUUCUUGCAUAAAUCUUGUAGUUGACAGCUCUGCAGAGUCAUCUUCACAAAGUUCCUUUUGGGACUUAUUCGAACUUGUAACUUUGUUGGAUUAUAUAUCUCACUGACAUGGCUGACGGCAGUCUACUGCAAUUAAUAGCGCUUCUGGCUUCAUUUGUUGAUGUUCUAUUUCAUUUUCUUAAAUGGAUCUUUUAAUAUUUGUCCCUUACCCAUCAUUAAAUGUGACUAAUACUUCAAGCUCUCCAUGACAUCUCCAUGUUGGUUAGAUUGUUUUUGUGUUGCUGGUGGUUUGGAUUUGUGUAUGCACUAUGCAGGACCUCUAUAUAAAUCACAUCAUGAAUGAAGCAGGGGCUACUGUUGUACUAAGAGGAAGAGGGUCUGAACAUCAUGAUUGUUUCAAAUGAAGUACCAUUGCAACCCCUGCAUUUAUCUCUGUUAAGUACUAAUCCAAAAAGUCUUGAAGUUGCCAAGAUCUUACCAGAAAACCUUUUGGACAGUUUCCUCUGGAUCUGAUGCUUCAAGCUUUAAGGCACCUUUGGUGUAGGAUUCCAUCAAAUAAGAUUAUGGUGCUGUUCCUCCACCAACAGUUGUUGGUGGGAACAGAAAGCUCAUCAGACGUUGUAUCUUUCCAUCCACUUCCACUGGCUCUAUGGCAGGAGUUCCAAUAGCUUACAGGCACCAUUGUCUGCCCUCAAGGAAUAGCCACUCACUCUGGAGACAUGUUGAAAUAUGGGAAUUCCCACAAACUUGGUUAGCUAUUAUGCUCCCUGCAGUCACUAGAGCGACAUGUUAUAAUGGCUAUGAAGGCAUAUAACCCCAGGCAAUGCCAUUGCAGGGAGUGGUUUUAGUACUCUGCUUGUGUCAUUCACAAGUUCCAUAGUGAGCACAACUGAAGAGUAAGUCAAAAAUUCAAAUGAAACACGGCCUCCACAACUACAUAAAUUUCAGGAGUUGCCUGUUUCUUUAGGGAUGUUAAACUGUUCUUCAGGCAGAUAACCUACGGAUUUGCAUUUGUCACGGGUUUACGCGCAGCAGUUUGGUAAAAGCCAGGAGUUGACCUUUGCUGUCAACAACACGGGUUCGAUUUCUUUCUAGUCACCAGAAUGCUGCUAAUAGACAUUUCAUUUCAUGAUGAUUUGGUAUUCUCUUUGCUUUUCAUGCAUAAUUGUGCUGCAUAUUAGUCAUCUUAGAACUUUUCAGAUCACUACCUAAUGUCCUUCUACCUGUUUGCUUUCUGAACUUUGAUCUAUUUGUUCCCAUGACUUAUUUUAAACCUUUGAUACUCAUCCGAUAUCUAUAUAAUUAUGGUAUUGAGCAAAUGGGGUUUUCUAGUUUGCUUCUUCAGAACUCACAAGUAUCAGAAUUUCUCAAGCCAGCUCGUGAGGGUUUAGAGGUGUGAGGGCUGUCUCAUCCAUGCUGCUGCUGCUGAAGAAGUUGGUAGAUGGUGGACUAAAAUGGGACACAACCUCUGCCAAGGAACAUGCCUCCCCCGCCACCAAAGUUCUCGUCGUCUCAAUCACUCCCCAGGCACCAACAAUGGCGACAAGGAUUCGAGUGAAUCAAAUGGUUUGCCACAAUCUUCAAGAAAUGUGCCUCCACCACCCCCCAAGCUUUCAGAUCCCCAACUCCCUCCAAGAGCUAAAAGCAGGAGCAUGGAUACCUCCCAAGGUUUUCAUUGUGGUCUUUCUCAAAGAGUGUUUUUUGCUUUCGACAUCUUAGGAUGCGUCAAAUCUUUUUGGAAGAAUGUUCAGUUUAGUCUUGCCAGUGUACUACCCUGAAAAUUCUAGCAAUGAUUGUUGUGAAACUCUACCCAGUUCUAGUUUACAUAUGUGACUUGGAAAGUUGUAAUGUUACUACUACUAUUUCCUUUUCCUCUA
Molecule: long non-coding RNA, 4460 nt
Organism: Musa acuminata AAA Group (dessert banana)
Lineage: Eukaryota; Viridiplantae; Streptophyta; Magnoliopsida; Zingiberales; Musaceae
Exons: 4
Source: RefSeq, a predicted model, not a curated record